Molecule: long non-coding RNA, 211 nt
Filed under: Elaeis guineensis (African oil palm)
Lineage: Eukaryota; Viridiplantae; Streptophyta; Magnoliopsida; Arecales; Arecaceae
Description: long non-coding RNA (EGUI_LNC018305)
Source: RNAcentral
AGGGAGAGACACACCAUCAAUCAAUUUAGUGGGUGUGUGUGGUCUAUUUACAAUGACACUACAUAUGUCAUACUCAAGUACCUGAAUGAAAAUUCUCAUCCGAGCUUUCUAAUAGGUAUAGUUUGAUCCAUUGAAAAGUGGAGGUCGGUUUGUGAAUUGCCCCUCGGUUAGGAAUGUGUCAAAUUGAGCUAUUAUAGAUCUUUAGCUCUUG